Molecule: ribosomal RNA, 253 nt
Filed under: uncultured bacterium
Lineage: Bacteria
Description: partial 16S ribosomal RNA
Rfam family: Bacterial small subunit ribosomal RNA
Source: RNAcentral
UACGUAGGGUGCAAGCGUUAUCCGGAAUUAUUGGGCGUAAAGAGCUCGUAGGCGGUUUGUCGCGUCUGCCGUGAAAGUCCGGGGCUCAACUCCGGAUCUGCGGUGGGUACGGGCAGACUAGAGUGAUGUAGGGGAGACUGGAAUUCCUGGUGUAGCGGUGAAAUGCGCAGAUAUCAGGAGGAACACCGAUGGCGAGGGCAGGUCUCUGGGCAUUAACUGACGCUGAGGAGCGAAAGCAUGGGGAGCGAACAGG